RNAcentral lists this ribosomal RNA (399 nucleotides) under Biomphalaria glabrata. RNAcentral describes it as "partial large subunit ribosomal RNA". The record is from RNAcentral. Lineage: Eukaryota; Metazoa; Mollusca; Gastropoda; Planorbidae.
AGUUUAAGGAAAUGAUCUUAAAUGUAUUCUGCCCAGUGAUUAUUUUUUAAAUGGCCGCAGUACCUUGACUGUGCUAAGGUAGCAUAAUCAAUUGGCUUCUAAUUAAAGUCUGGAAUGAAAGGAAAAAUGAGGUAGUUCUGUCUUAAGGAAUUUUUUUUGAAUUUAUUUAAAUGAUGAAAAUAUCAUUUUUUAGAAAAAAGACGAGAAGACCCUUAGAGUUUUCAAUUUUUUUUUGUUGGGGCGACAUGUAAACAAUUAAACUUUACUAGUGUGAUAAAUCGAUUAUUUUAUAAGAAUAAUUAAACUACCUUAGGGAUAACAGCAUUAUAUAUUUUUUUAUGAUUGUGACCUCGAUGUUGGACUAGGAACUUUAUGGCUAGCCGUCAAAAAAGAUUUGUU